RNAcentral lists this ribosomal RNA (438 nucleotides) under uncultured bacterium. RNAcentral describes it as "bacterial SSU rRNA". It matches the Rfam family "Bacterial small subunit ribosomal RNA", at positions 338 to 793 of the family's 1533-position model. The record is from RNAcentral.
CCUACGGGAGGCAGCAGUGGGGAAUAUUGCACAAUGGGGGGAACCCUGAUGCAGCGACGCCGCGUGGGUGAAGGAGCACCUCGGUGCGUAAAGCCCUAUCGGCAGGGAAGAAACAGACGGUACCUGAGUAAGAAGCCCCGGCUAACUACGUGCCAGCAGCCGCGGUAAUACGUAGGGGGCAAGCGUUAUCCGGAUUCACUGGGUGUAAAGGGAGCGUAGACGGCGACGCAAGUCUGGAGUGAAAGCCCGGGGCCCAACCCCGGGACUGCUCUGGAAACUGCGGCGCUGGAGUACGGGAGGGGCAGGCGGAAUUCCUGGUGUAGCGGUGAAAUGCGUAGAUAUCAGGAGGAACACCGGCGGCGAAGGCGGCCUGCUGGACCGUGACUGACGUUGAGGCUCGAGAGCGUGGGGAGCAAACAGGAUUAGAUACCCCAGUAG